This 462-nucleotide unclassified non-coding RNA is filed under the name uncultured fungus. RNAcentral describes it as "partial contains small subunit ribosomal RNA, internal transcribed spacer 1, and 5.8S ribosomal RNA". The stretch from base 1 to 73 matches the Rfam family "Eukaryotic small subunit ribosomal RNA", at positions 1759 to 1831 of the family's 1831-position model. Lineage: Eukaryota; Fungi. The record is from RNAcentral.
GCAAACUUGGUCAUUUAGAGGAAGUAAAAGUCGUAACAAGGUUUUCGUAGGUGAACCUGCGGAAGGAUCAUUAAUGAGGGAAAAUAAACGAGGGGCGCCUUCGGGCCCGAGGACAAGAUGUCCGCCUUCAGGCGUUGUGGGGGUCGUUGACAUGCACCUCGGUGCGUGUGUUGCACGGUCCCCGCGGUGUUUGGAGUGCUUGAGUUAGCUUCUCAAGUAGGGCUCUGGCCCCUCCCUCCACCCGUGUCUACCGUACCUCUGUUGCUUCGGCGGGCCCGCCCGAGCCCUUCUCCCCGGGGAAGGGGGCAGAGGCCGCCACGGUGUUCACGCACCGGGGCCAGCGCCCGCCGGGGAAGUUAUCUGAACCCGUGAGAAUAGUUGAGAACAGUCUGAGUGGGAUCGAAAUCAGUUAAAACUUUCAACAAUGGAUCUCUUGGUUCCGGCAUCGAUGAAGAACGCAGC